UGCCAGACUCCUACGGGAGGCAGCAGUGGGGAAUAUUGCACAAUGGGGGAAACCCUGAUGCAGCAACGCCGCGUGGGUGAAGGAGCGUUUCGGCGCGUAAAGCCCUGUCAGCGGGGAAGAAGAAAGACGGUACCCGACCAAGAAGCCCCGACUAACUACGUGCCAGCAGCCGCGGUAAUACGGAGGGUGCGAGCGUUAUCCGGAUUUACUGGGUGUAAAGGGAGCGUAGACGGCAGCACAAGUCUGAAGUGAAAUGCCGGGGCUUAACCCCGGAACUGCUUUGGAAACUGUGCAGCUAGAGUGCAGGAGAGGUAAGUGGAAUUCCUAGUGUAGCGGUGAAAUGCGUAGAUAUUAGGAGGAACACCAGUGGCGAAGGCGGCUUACUGGACUGUAACUGACGUUGAGGCUCGAAAGCGUGGGGAGCAAACAGGAUUAGAUACCCCCGUA
Molecule: ribosomal RNA, 447 nt
Filed under: uncultured bacterium
Lineage: Bacteria
Description: bacterial SSU rRNA
Rfam family: Bacterial small subunit ribosomal RNA
Source: RNAcentral